RNAcentral lists this ribosomal RNA (575 nucleotides) under uncultured Bacillota bacterium. Its description in RNAcentral is "bacterial SSU rRNA". It matches the Rfam family "Bacterial small subunit ribosomal RNA", at positions 351 to 916 of the family's 1533-position model. Lineage: Bacteria; Bacillati; Bacillota. The record is from RNAcentral.
GCAGUAGGGAAUCUUCCGCAAUGGACGAAAGUCUGACGGAGCAACGCCGCGUGAGCGAUGAAGGCCUUCGGGUCGUAAAGCUCUGUUGUUAGGGAAGAACAAGUAUCGUUCGAAUAGGGCGGUACCUUGACGGUACCUAACCAGAAAGCCACGGCUAACUACGUGCCACCACCCGCGGUAAUACGUAGGUGGCAAGCGUUGUCCGGAAUUAUUGGGCGUAAAGCGCGCGCAGGCGGUUUCUUAAUUCUGAUGUGAAAGCCCAUGGCUCAACCAUGGAGGGUCAUUGGAAACUGGGGAACUUGAGUACAGAAAAGGAGAGUGGAAUUCCACGUGUAGCGGUGAAAUGCGUAAAUAUGUGGAGGAACACCAGUGGCGAGGGCGACUCUCUGGUCUGUAACUGACGCUGAGGCGCGAAAGCGUGGGGAGCAAACAGGAUUAAAUACCCUGGUAGUCCACGCCGUAAACAAUGAGUGCUAGGUGUUAAGGGUUUCGAUGCCCUUAGUGCCGAAGUUAACACAUUAAGCACUCCGCCUGGGGAGUACAACCGCAAGGUUGAAACUCAAAGGAAUUGACGG